Molecule: ribosomal RNA, 481 nt
Filed under: uncultured bacterium
Lineage: Bacteria
Description: partial 16S ribosomal RNA
Rfam family: Bacterial small subunit ribosomal RNA
Source: RNAcentral
GACGAACGUUGGCGGCGUGCUUAAUACAUGCAAGUCCACUGAAGCAGUGGUAGCAAUAUCGCUGUGGAGGUGGCGCACGGGUGAGUAACACGUAGGUAAUCUGCCUUCAGGUCUGGCAUAACUCCGGGAAACCGGGGCUAAUAGCAGAUGAUGCAGCGGCUCGACAUCGAGACAGUUGUUAAAGCUAUGGCGCCUGAAGAUGAGCCUGCGUCUGAUUAGCUAGUUGGCGGGGUAACGGCCCACCAAGGCAACGAUCAGUAGCUGGUCUGAGAGGAUGAUCAGCCACACUGGAACUGAUACACGGUCCAGACUCCUACGGGAGGCAGCAGUAAGGAAUAUUGCUCAAUGGGAGAAAUCCUGAAGCAGCAACGCCGCGUGAGGGACGAAGGGCUUUUGCUUGUAAACCUCUGUAGUGAGAGAAAAAAAUCCCAAUCUUUGGGACAUGAUGGUAUCUCAAAAGUAAGCCCCGGCUAACUACGUG